GGUGCGUUUGUAUAACGGUAGCACACUUGGUUGCGUAAACAAGGAGGUGUGGGUUCGAGUCCCACACGUACGG
This is a non-coding RNA of Octopus bimaculoides (California two-spot octopus), 73 nucleotides long. The record is from Rfam. NCBI's taxonomy places the organism in Eukaryota, Metazoa, Mollusca, Cephalopoda, Octopoda, Octopodidae.